UAUGCCUACGGGGCGCAGCAGUGGGGAAUAUUGGGCAAUGGGCGCAAGCCUGACCCAGCAACGCCGCGUGAAGGAAGAAGGCUUUCGGGUUGUAAACUUCUUUUCUCAGGGACGAAGAAAGUGACGGUACCUGAGGAAUAAGCCACGGCUAACUACGUGCCAGCAGCCGCGGUAAUACGUAGGUGGCAAGCGUUAUCCGGAUUUAUUGGGUGUAAAGGGCGUGUAGGCGGGAAUGCAAGUCAGAUGUGAAAACUAUGGGCUCAACCCAUAGCCUGCAUUUGAAACUGUCUUUCU
Molecule: ribosomal RNA, 294 nt
Filed under: uncultured bacterium
Lineage: Bacteria
Description: partial 16S ribosomal RNA
Rfam family: Bacterial small subunit ribosomal RNA
Source: RNAcentral